RNAcentral lists this small RNA (550 nucleotides) under Histoplasma ohiense. Its description in RNAcentral is "hypothetical lncRNA". Lineage: Eukaryota; Fungi; Ascomycota; Eurotiomycetes; Onygenales; Ajellomycetaceae. The record is from RNAcentral.
UUACAACUACUCACAAACAUAGGGGUAUGUUUGAAAUUUGCAUUUUUAUCAUCAGUUUUCAUAAUAUUUUAACUCUAUAACUUGUUCAAUAACAUUCUACACUCUCUACAGCCUCUCUACAAGUGUAUAUUACACAAGUUGAGUGCUCAUAGAGUCAUCAAUGCUCUUCUGUUCACUCAAGAAUGUUGAUGCAGUCUUUAUCAGAUCAUUGAAAUCAGAAUCAUUGAUGAAUUUUGUUACUGAAAAGACUGAUAAGAGAUAGAAGAAAACUGUCACAAUGUCUUUUUCAGUUCUCAAAAAAAUCUGUAACAGAUAUAUUUUGAUUAAUAAUCUAGCACUAUUCUAAAUACAGAUUACAAAUUGAUUAAGAGAAAAAAAAUCAGAAGAAAAAAUCAUACAAAAAAAGUUCUUAUAAAAAAACAAUCAGAGUGAAAAAAUAUCAGAAGUCAUUUCACAGUGAAAUAUGAAGUGAAAGAAUAUUAAAAAUUAUACAGAAGAAUUGUUAGAACUAUAUAAAUAUAAAAUAUAAAAUGAAAGAAAUUAUAUAAAA